Molecule: ribosomal RNA, 437 nt
Filed under: uncultured bacterium
Lineage: Bacteria
Description: partial 16S ribosomal RNA
Rfam family: Bacterial small subunit ribosomal RNA
Source: RNAcentral
GAUGAACGCUGGCGGCAUGCUUAACACAUGCGAGUCGAACGGGAAGUGGUGUUUCCAGUGGCGAACGGGUGAGUAACGCGUAAGAACCUGCCCUUGGGAGGGGAACAACAACUGGAAACGGUUGCUAAUACCCCGUAGGCUGAGGAGCAAAAGGAGAAAUCCGCCCAAGGAGGGGCUCGCGUCUGAUUAGCUAGUUGGUGAGGUAAUAGCUUACCAAGGCGAUGAUCAGUAGCUGGUCCGAGAGGAUGAUCAGCCACACUGGGACUGAGACACGGCCCAGACUCCUACGGGGGGCAGCAGUGGGGAAUUUUCCGCAAUGGGCGAAAGCCUGACGGAGCAAUGCCGCGUGGAGGUGGAAGGCCUACGGGUCGUCAACUUCUUUUCUCGGAGAAGAAACAAUGACGGCAUCUGAGGAAUAAGCAUCGGCUAACUCUGUG